UGACCGGAUGAACCAGAGGCCGUGGCUAAUUGCUACCUGGGCCCAGCAGCCGAUAUGCACGAAUGUUUGUUACCACUGGGAGACGUGAACUGCAGCUUUGUAUAACCACAGCCUCUCCAGGAGUCUGGAUUUGAGGGGAGUGUGAUGGGACUUGGGGAGGGGGGUGCCAGGACCACCCCAGCCAGGCGGAGAAUGGAGGACUGCCUCAGAGGAGAGUUAGAGAAGCUGGGAUGUGGAUGUCCGCCCCACACUCUGCCCCGCUGUGCUUGGCACAGCCAGCUCCCCCUGCUGACGACCAGAAGCUCAGCCCAAUGAGGAAGGCCUGACCACAUGAUCAUGUCUUGGGGUGCAGAGGGGCUCCUGGAGAGGACAGGGACACUGACAUCAUAAUAGUGACGUCCCUGAUGUUACAGGAAAAUGCUCCAAACUGAAAAAAGGGAGGAGCAGAACAGAACAGUUGCUUUCUGGCCCAGGAAACCAGCACCUUGAGUAGGGAGAUGCCCAGUCCUGUCCAUCCUGACUCGGCCUGGGGACCCAGGUUCCUCUGCUGUGUGACCCUUUGUCUCCUGGGAGCAGGUUUGGUGGAUGCCGGAGUCACCCAGUUCCCAAGACACCUAAUCAAAGCAGAGGGAGGAAAGUCCACUCUGAAAUGCUAUCCCGACUCUGGACACAGGAGUGUGUCCUGGUAUCAGCAGGAUCCUGGUCAGGGCCCCCAGUUCCUUGCUGAGUAUUUUGAGAUGUCACAGAGAACUAAGGGAAGCAUGCCUGGCCGAUUCUCAGCUCAGCAGUUCGGUGACUAUCACUCUGAGCUGAACAUGAGCACCUUGCAGUUGGCGGACUCGGCUGUGUAUCUCUGUGCCAGCAGCUUGGCACAGCCUUGCAGAGCCACUGGCUUUCUGUACCCUAACCUUCCAGUCCCAGCUGAGGAUAGAAUAGGGAGGGGCUAGGGAUGUCACCUUAGCCCAAGCCCUAUGGAUGCCUGUAGUGCUUUG
This is a non-coding RNA of Heterocephalus glaber (naked mole-rat), 992 nucleotides long. The record is from the annotation of a RefSeq genome assembly. Lineage: Eukaryota; Metazoa; Chordata; Mammalia; Rodentia; Bathyergidae.